AGCUUUAUAUUCAAUAAUGAUAUAAAAUUGCAAAUUUUAAGGGGUAUUAUAAAAAAAUACUAAGGCUU
This 68-nucleotide transfer RNA is filed under the name Iphiclides podalirius (scarce swallowtail). RNAcentral's name for it is "tRNA-Cys". The record is from RNAcentral. Lineage: Eukaryota; Metazoa; Arthropoda; Insecta; Lepidoptera; Papilionidae.